This 203-nucleotide ribosomal RNA is filed under the name uncultured bacterium. RNAcentral describes it as "partial 16S ribosomal RNA". It matches the Rfam family "Bacterial small subunit ribosomal RNA", at positions 1299 to 1500 of the family's 1533-position model. The record is from RNAcentral.
UGUAGGUUGCAACUCGCCUACAUGAAGUCGGAAUCGCUAGUAAUCGCGGAUCAGCAUGCCGCGGUGAAUACGUUCCCGGGCCUUGUACACACCGCCCGUCACACCAUGAGAGUUUGUAACACCCAAAGCCGGUGGGGUAACCUUUUGGAGCCAGCCGUCUAAGGUGGGACAGAUGAUUGGGGGUGAAGUCGUAACAAGGUAGC